This 253-nucleotide ribosomal RNA is filed under the name uncultured bacterium. RNAcentral describes it as "partial 16S ribosomal RNA". It matches the Rfam family "Bacterial small subunit ribosomal RNA", at positions 524 to 776 of the family's 1533-position model. The record is from RNAcentral.
UACGGAGGGUGCGAGCGUUGUCCGGAAUCACUGGGCGUAAAGGGCGCGUAGGCGGCGCGGGAAGUCCAUGGUGAAAGCCCGAGGCUCAACUUCGGGUCGGCCAAGGAUACUCCCGGGCUCGAGCACUGUAGAGGCAGGUGGAAUUCCGGGUGUAGCGGUGGAAUGCGUAGAGAUCCGGAAGAACACCGGUGGCGAAGGCGGCCUGCUGGGCAGUAGCUGACGCUGAGGCGCGACAGCGUGGGGAGCAAACAGG